Molecule: non-coding RNA, 417 nt
Organism: Erwinia sp.
Lineage: Bacteria; Pseudomonadati; Pseudomonadota; Gammaproteobacteria; Enterobacterales; Erwiniaceae
Source: Rfam
AGGUUCUUUACCGUGCUGUCGAGCGGCUUGAUGUAGAGAUCGUUAUUAUUCAGCACCACGUUGCCGCUGGCGUGCACCUGCUGACCAUCCAGCGGGAUGUCGAGAUUGAGCUUUCCGCGGGUUUUGCCUUUGACCUGCAGUUCCUCCAGUGCGCUGCCCAGUGAGCUUUUCAGCGGCGUUUGCUGGAAAUAAUCGCCGAUAUCCUGCCCUGCACCGCUGACGUUACCGGUGAUAAUCAGUUUCUCUUUCAGGUAAUCGGGAAUGAUGGCGCUGAUGUCGGUGACGCUGACCUUGCCCAACAUCGCCUGCUGCGCUUUCAUCCAUAACCCAUCAUUCAGGAAAUCGAGAUCGAUAUCGAGGUUCUCAAUAUCGGGCCAGCCCGGCUGGAAAGCGUAGGUCGCGUGGCGCAACGGCACG